CCUACGGGAGGCAGCAGUGGGGAAUAUUGGACAAUGGGCGAAAGCCUGAUCCAGCCAUGCCGCGUGUGUGAAGAAGGCCUUCGGGUUGUAAAGCACUUUCAGUGGGGAAGAAAGCCUUGGGGCUAAUACCCUCGAGGAAGGACAUUACCCACAGAAGAAGCACCGGCUAACUCCGUGCCAGCAGCCGCGGUAAUACGGAGGGUGCGAGCGUUAAUCGGAAUUACUGGGCGUAAAGCGCGCGUAGGCGGUCUGAUAAGCCGGUUGUGAAAGCCCCGGGCUCAACCUGGGAACGGCAUCCGGAACUGUCAGGCUAGAGUGCAGGAGAGGAAGGUAGAAUUCCCGGUGUAGCGGUGAAAUGCGUAGAGAUCGGGAGGAAUACCAGUGGCGAAGGCGGCCUUCUGGACUGACACUGACGCUGAGGUGCGAAAGCGUGGGUAGCAAACAGGAUUAGAUACCCUGGUAGUC
Molecule: ribosomal RNA, 465 nt
Filed under: Vreelandella stevensii
Lineage: Bacteria; Pseudomonadati; Pseudomonadota; Gammaproteobacteria; Oceanospirillales; Halomonadaceae
Description: partial 16S ribosomal RNA
Rfam family: Bacterial small subunit ribosomal RNA
Source: RNAcentral